This 309-nucleotide long non-coding RNA is filed under the name Prunus dulcis (almond). RNAcentral's name for it is "sRNA ncRNA". The record is from RNAcentral. Lineage: Eukaryota; Viridiplantae; Streptophyta; Magnoliopsida; Rosales; Rosaceae.
GUUAGAAGCUCCACCAAAAACCCCAAAUUAGAACCCUAGGUUUGCGAUGUCAGAGAUUUCAACGACCUCAAGUGGCACGAGACGGUAUUGCGCCUGUGUGAUAAAGAUAAUUCGUCGGACUUCGUGGACAGAUUUGAAACCGGGAAGAAGGUUUGAUGCUUGUGAUAAAAAUUGGGUAAGUUAUUAUUUGGGUUGCAAAAGUUGUUCUUUUCCAUUUGUAAUUGCUUGGUGAGGUCUGAAAUUGGGUAAGAUUUGAUUUCUAGAAUAGCAGAAGAGGUAUGCAUUUUUUCGAGUGGAUGGAUAAUGAAA